CCGGAUAUCCGGUCGCAUUGGUUUAUCGUUCACAACACCAAGCGAAUUACAGAAAAAGGAUUCGGAAAAAAACUAACACGACCUCAAAAGUAUCCAUACCUAAUUUUUUUAAGGUAAUAUAUUAUAUUGAGAAGAAUAUUAAUAGGACUCCAGCUGUUUUACAUGCAUGUAUACACAGCAUCUUUGAUUUUUACCUGCCCCUUUUGCAGCCUGGCAGCCACUACCGACCCAGCGAGGGUCUUCAGACACGAGGGAUGCUCCCUGCAUCCACAUAUAGCCAUCCACCGUUUGACGCCCCUGCGCAACCUGAAGCCCCAUUCUUCCAUUGACCGUCAAGGCAAUUUUGUAGUGUUGAAGGAUGUUUUUGUUCUUCAAACCCUUAAACCCCAUCUGAUUGGGUUAUUGGACUACACCUGGCACCAGGAACAACCUUCAUUUGGGCUGAGGAUCGUCCCGUGUCUUGACGAACAGCGAAUUGGAUCCUCACGUUCAAGGCCAGUGAUUAUUUUUUUUCUUGACAUUUUUGUUCUACAGCUAAUAAAUAUGAAUUUAUCAACUUUACUAUGAAUUUCCUACAGGGCUAUUUUCAUAUAUAUAUAAAUAACAAACCAUUCAACUUAAAUAUGUAGGACACUUUUGAAAAGUAGUAUACUUUGUUUGCUGCAAUGUAUUUUUGCAGUGGAGUAUUCUGAUUUUGGUUCCAUUAUUGCAGGAAAGGUCCAUUCCAAAUUUAACACAACCUGUCCUGUGGUGAUUCUUCUAAAAUAUGAAGAUAAAAUGUGGGGAUUUUGCAUCACAUAAUGUUUUGUAAUGAUGAAAGCCACACUCAAUAUAGGGGAAU
Non-coding RNA from Doryrhamphus excisus (bluestripe pipefish), 841 nucleotides. The record is from RefSeq and is a predicted model, not a curated record. Lineage: Eukaryota; Metazoa; Chordata; Actinopteri; Syngnathiformes; Syngnathidae.